AUACCAAACCAUACUUAACUUUCCUCCUGGAAUUUACACAGAGUUCAACCAAUCCUCCUCCUUUCCUGAACCGAAGAGGAGCAGUGAUCCUUUGUUCCAGAGAAGCGUAGAGACAGGUGUAGUAUAUGAAGAAUAUUGGAUCAUGGGACACAGAAACAAAUAAAAAGAAUAUUGGACCUCACACUGCUGUGUAGAUGGAAAAAGGAGAUGUCCUUUAAUAGCCUUCUCAGGAGACAUGGGAUCAGUCCCUGGUCUGGAAGAUCCCAUGUGCCACAGAACAACUAAGCCCCAGUACCACAACUAUUGAUCAAGAUAGAGUCCAAGAGCAGCAGCUACUGAGCCAGUACACAGCAACUACUGAAGCCUGUGCCCCACAGCAAGAGAAGCCACGACCAUGAGAAGCCUGCACACCACAGCAAAGAGUAGUCUCCUCGCCACAACUCGAGAAAGCCCACACACAGCAAUGA
This is a long non-coding RNA of Bos taurus (domestic cattle), 467 nucleotides long. Lineage: Eukaryota; Metazoa; Chordata; Mammalia; Artiodactyla; Bovidae. The record is from Ensembl.